GCGGCUGACAGGUCAUCCUGCUCCGGCGAAGUCGGUCGCUUCCAUGUAGAAAUUUGACUCCUGACGC
This 67-nucleotide small nucleolar RNA is filed under the name Drosophila sechellia. RNAcentral describes it as "snoRNA:GM27569". Lineage: Eukaryota; Metazoa; Arthropoda; Insecta; Diptera; Drosophilidae. The record is from RNAcentral.